UAAUACGUAGGGGGCAAGCGUUGUCCGGAUUUAUUGGGCGUAAGGCGCACGCAGGCGGCUUUCCAAGUCGGAUGUGAAAUCUCUUGGCUAAAACUAAGAAACUGCAUCCGAAACUGGAUUGCUUGAGUUCGGUAGAGGAGAGUGGAAUUCCCGGUGUAGCGGUGAAAUGCGCAGAUAUCGGGAAGAACACCAGUAGUGAAGGCGGCUCUCUGGAACGAUACUGACGCUAAGGUGCGAGAGCUAGGGUAGCAAACAGGAUUAGAUACCCUGGUAGUCCUAGCUGUAAACGAUGGGCACUAGAUGUAGGGAGAUAUCGACUCUCUCUGCGUCGGAGCUAACGCAUUAAGUGCCCCGCCUGGGGAGUACGACCGCAAGGUUA
Molecule: ribosomal RNA, 379 nt
Filed under: uncultured bacterium
Lineage: Bacteria
Description: bacterial SSU rRNA
Rfam family: Bacterial small subunit ribosomal RNA
Source: RNAcentral